Molecule: long non-coding RNA, 7005 nt
Organism: Tympanuchus pallidicinctus (lesser prairie-chicken)
Lineage: Eukaryota; Metazoa; Chordata; Aves; Galliformes; Phasianidae
Exons: 2
Source: RefSeq, a predicted model, not a curated record
UCAUGGUAAAUGAUUAAAUUAGCUGACACAGUUUUAUCCUGAACCUUGCCAUUAAAACUGACAUUUUUGUGCCAAGCAGACUGUAGGCUGCUGGUAAUCUAAACUGCCUUUCUUCUUCUAAAGACUCUAAAUAGCUAAAGUACUCUUGUUCUUUACCCUAUUUGCAAAUGUGUGGAAAAUAUAUCUUCAUCAUAACAAGAUGAACUAAGCACGGGAGCAGAGGACUUAAUUUUUCCUCAUCUAUCAUACAAAUACCUUAAGAAAACAGCAAGGAAGCUUCAAAUGCCCAGAUUCAGCUCUGCAUCAUGCACUUUAAUCAAGUCGUUCAUGUGACUCUAUAGAGAUGAGAACAUGCUGUCCUCCUCACGGCUUGCUUGUUUACGCAAAGAGAGUUAUGAGAAUAAUUUUGGUAGAAAACAGUUUAUGACUGGUUGGAUGAAGCACUGCCAGAGCUGGUGUUUGCAGCCACUUUCCCUCAGCUGAGCUAGCUGGGAAGGAGCAACUCAUUCCAUUGUGAAGAUAUGCAGCCUCCAAAGCAAAGCACAGGCAAGGCCUGACUGCUCAGAGAUGUGAAGGAAUUGAAUCUUCUGAGCAUUGCACUGAGUGUCUUCCAGAGGUGGGUGGGAAGCAAAGCCACCAAAGAGGCACUGCAGGAAAGAGGAGAGGAGGCGGGAUAAGCAGACAGCACACCCCCACAAGAAGCUAAGGGUGAGCAUAAGGAAUGAGCUGUGGCUGAAGAAAAUUUCACAGGCAACAGGGUAAAAUUAUUCUGGUUGUUUGACUUGAUCGGGGUCAGAAAAGUUGAACUUUGCCCCUUUUAUUUAUUUAUUUGUUGCAAAAAAGUAGUAUGUCUCUCUGUAUUUAUCUCACUGCAUUUUCUCCUCAUAAAUAGAAUAACCUAGAAUAUCUUGAUUUUUUAGCUAACCAGAAAUUUCAAAAGAAAUAGCUAAAAAUGCAAAACCACAGAUAUUGGUCCAGAACAGUGGAGCAGCACAUCUAGCCUUCCACACAGAAGAGGCUUAUAUGUUUUUGGAAAUCAUGCAAUAUCAAAGGCUAUCAUUAUUAUAAAAUAAUCUAUCUGAACAGGGCACUUAAUUUACCACUCAUAGGCUUAAACAGUGGAAGUUCCAUGAAGAAGUCAUGUAUGCAUUACAUUUACCUCUUUAUGUGCAUUGGCACAAAGAUAAAAACACUGAUUAUACAAGUUGGAUUAUACAAUCUGUAUUUUAGCAUUUAGUAACCAAGGUCUUUGCUGAAACAGGUACUAAAAGUGUGGCAGACACCAAAGAAAUGUUUUUCAUUCCAGCAGAGAAUUUGAUCCUACAGUCUUCACACAGACUUAUCAGAAGCGUGUGCAUAACAGGAACGUUAUGGCAAUGUUUCUAGAUUCCUUGCUAGCCACAGCUGGGCAAGACUUUGGACUCCUUUUCACAUCUUGGAUCUUCUGGCAGUUUUAAUAAAGAAGAUGAAACACAGCUUUUUGCACAGCACCUUCCUCAGGAGAUAGAAAUUGCAGUUAUAUAACACUCACACAGUCACACCACUAUCAUCAAAAGGUGACUUUCAGUGAAAAGAGAUGGCUGUGAAGACAGCUUCUUUGAGAACUCGUGGAAAUGCUGAACAAUGAAACACAAUUUGAUUAUCAAAAAAUCAAACCAGUAUGAAAAUUUCGCCAACUGUGUUAUUCAGUUCAAACUUCUUAGCUCUCCUAUAUCAUUUCUUGGUUCUUACAUGUUGUGAAAGAGACAUAACUACUUUUACUUUAAAAUUUGAAAACCCUUCACAUCAGAGGUUAUAUGAAUCAUCUAGUCUUUUCUAUUCCAAAAUGUUUCACUGAUCAUUCAUUGUUAACUGAGUAAAACGAAGACAGCUAUGAUAGAUGAAAAUUUAUCUCAAAGUAUUAGAAAGGAUAUGAAAAUAUCUUGUUCAUAAGUACUAACAUUUAGAUAACAUAAGAGAGUCCAACCCCAGUUUUUUCACUGUCACAUUCCAUAUGGCUCUUAAUAACUCAUUAUUACCUUUUUUGCUGCUCCUAGGCACUGGUGGUUUCAACCUGGUCUGCCAUUGAGCAGAAAUGCAUUCCAACAGGAGAACAGUGAAAGGACUGGAUGUUGACAGACAGGAAGCCUGCUGAUAUUAGAGAUUAGGACCCAACUCAUGUCCAGAUUUUUUUUAGCAAUAUAUGUGCUCUAAAAGUUCUACUAAAAUUUAUUUUCUCCUCUUGAUGAGAACACUCAGAUUACAGAAGAAGAAACCUGUUGCCCUUUCUAGAUCUGAGAGUAAGGACUCCUGAGUAACAGAGUAACUUGUGCUUUGCGCACAAGGAUUUGUGUACAGAACUUGGAGGUACCAUAACAAAAUAGAAAUUUUCAAGCAGCUUGCCACAGAAAUGAGACAGAGCCUGGAGAGGAACCUUGCUGACAUAGAAAAGAUAAGAAUCUAGGCUACCUUAUUUCAUGAGUGAAAAUCCCGGAUACAUGUUACUCCUUGUUAUGUGUCCUUUCAUACAGAAAGAACAGAAGGACUGGAUUGAAGUUAGUAGGACUGCUUGAUAUGUACUGCACAACUGAAUAUAUUUCAAAUUUUCAUGAUAUUUUACUCGUUUGCCUCUUAAAAUGUUUCUUUUGUUUUGGUUGUUUCAUUGCUGCCCUCUUCACCUCAGGUUCUCCAGGGUGGCAGGUCAGCCUGUGGAUGAGGGAAGUAGACAGAGACAGAAGUUGUGUAAAGCUGGUCGUGGACUUAAUAAGGGCUUGAUUCCGUACCAACGAAAUCAACAGGAGUUUGGCUCAUGUUUGCAAUGGGAGGUGGAUCAACGCUUUAUGCCAGCUGUUCCCUGUUGGGUAGGGAUAAUCCCUUUGAAACAAAAUAUUUAACUUGUUCUCACUCUGUUGAUGUAAGAAGGCUUCUCGUGAUAAUGCUUUCAUGAGAAUUAAAAGGUGUGUCCCAUUUUUAAUGUCAAAUACCUCAUUCCUCUAGUAUACAUUUGCCAAUUCACCAAAAACAAACAAACAAACAAACGAAAAAAAAACAACAAAAACCCACCAACCCAAGAAAUGAGAAGUCUGCUAUUAGCCACAUGGGUUUAUAAAAAGUGCUACAGCAAUCUGAGGUGCAGGGUGUAUCCUCUAUUUGUUCUGCUUGCCAUGAUAAUACUUGCAAUUUCCUCAGCUGGAAGAUGCAGCAAGGAGCCAGGUUAGUUCAAACAUCUGCAACUGAGGUGGGACCCACGGGCAGAUAUAAAGCAGCCAAGGCCACUGUAGACAAAUAAGAUGACAGAAAAAUAAACUACUAACUGUCAUGAAGGGAGUCAUGAAGAACAAAAUGUGGGAACACUAUCAGACAGAGAAACAGGAGCUGAGGGAGGAUAGUAACUAUGAUAAAGUCAGAUGUGUGUCCCACAGUCUGGAUCCAAGUAUAGCAUUUAGUCUCAUUUACAACUGUAUUUUCUUUCUGUUUUACUGAGGAAACGAGCCUCUGAUGCUGCCCAGGUUGUGCUAUAGAUCAGCAGCACACUGUGGCUAUUUCUAGCUUCUGCAUAUAUUGGCGAAGUUCACAGGCAGUGUGGAAGUGGAGCAUAUUUAUCCCAGCCUUGGUUUGGUUCACUCCUCACCCCUCUGGCUGAGAUCCAUUUGGCUGGCAGACUUGGAACAUAAUGUCUGCUAAGUUUUACAAAGCAAUUAUUUAAUUUGAAAAGUCUCUUUGAUUGCAUUCUAAUAAGAUUUCCACAAAAUACGGAGUUCUCCACCUACUCUGGGGAACUUUUGUUUGCUCCAGAAACUACGACACUUUUCAAAAAGCAAUUUUUGAAAGACUUUGGGAGAAGAAGCUUCCAGAGACAGAGUUGUUUGGUCUGUCAUCUGGGAACUGAGAUUUCCACAGACUUACAUCCUCCAGAAGCAGAAAAUGUAUGGAAUUGUUUGAACUUAAGAAAUUAUGACACCUGUACAGAAUGAAAGGAGGAAUUGAGAGAGACAACAGCAAAGCCAGGAGCUGCAUCUUGCACUCUGUUCCAAAGAACAUUCUCCUUCAGAUUCCUAUGGCUCUCCCAGCCCUAAUAUUAAACAUUUGACCUUUUUGUCAAACACUAUUUUAAAUUAUUAGGCUGGCUGAUUAGUUACUAAAUAUACCAUAUGUAGUAAAUAGGGAAUUGUGUAGUCCGGUGCUACAGUCUCAGACCUUUCAGGUAUUGCUCCCUUGGCAUUUAGAGUCUAAACACUGAGUCCCUUUAUAUUACCUUAAGCCACUUGGUAAGCAAGGAGUUCAUGGCAUUUUCACACAGGGAUGUUCUACUUCCCUUACAGCACCCCCCCCAUCCCUAACUGAUAGCUCUAGUGAAAGUGCUGUAAACACUGAGAAACCAGCUCAUGCCAAACAACACAACUUAGACUACUGACUAUAAAUAAGUGCAUUUAUCUUUAAACUUCUGUAAACUGGUCCUUUUCAAUUGUCUCUGCCAUGAUCCUCUCUCCCACAUGAGCUCUUCCACUCAUCUUCCUUCCUCCCCAGCACAAAUCAGCACGCCCUGCACUGGAAGCAGACUGAUGUAUUUGCUUUUUCACCUCUACUUCCAUACCUCAGUUUGGGAAAUCCUGCUGUAAAACUAACCUCCCUCAUAUAUCCCACUUAAAAUAUUUAAAAACACAUGGCUACAAACAGUAUGACAGACACCAUGAACUACCAGGAAAUAUUUAUAGUAAUAUCAGAAAGUAAAAAAAAUUAAAAAAAAUAAAAAAAAAAUAAAAGAAAAUCAAACUUUUUCCUGGAUCUUAGAAUGGUUUUAAUAGAAAUAGAAAAAAAAAUAGUGCAGAAAUAGUCCUGUUUAGAGGAAAAGCUACCUGAAGAAGGAAAAAAAAAAAAAGAAGACCUUAUUAAUAAACACAGUGGAACAUACUUAGAAGAGCACCCCAUGUAAUCCAUGUAACUUAUUUUAUAGUAUAAAACUGAGGUGGGACAUAGCAGAGAAACUGUUGAUUUGGAUAACUGAUUUCUUGCUUCCAACAAAUAACAGAACUGCUUCAUUCUUCAGCAGAUUGGAACUACUUCUGAUCUCUGAAAUAUGAGACUGGUACAGCUCCAGACAUUUCAGGAGGAUCACCUGCUUUACACCACAGUGACAGUUGAAGCUGGCCUAUUAGAGUACCUGAUUUUAUUAAAUCUAAGUCCUUGCAUAGAAUUACUCUUUUUUUUUUUUAAUUAUUUUUAUUAUGAGAUGAUACUUUUUGCCCCAAGCAAAGCCUGAGGACUCACCCAUUUAUACGAGCAGAGGAUGGACAGACUGGAGCACAGGACUGGGCCUCAGAUAUGCAGAGCUGGAAUUGUAUUUUCUUUGAUUAUGCAUUAGUGUGAUGGAGGCAGCCUAUGCACAAACCAGAUAACACUACUCUUUCUUCCUGCAGGAAGUUUAAUUUCUUGCUAAUUAAAAUGGGUGUGUUUGAGUAUGACAAGAAUUAGGAAAAAAAAAACCACUUAGAAGUCCAGCACAUCUAAAAUCACACAACUAAAUUGUUAAUGAGCGAUGAAUCUUAGCUAGGAGAACCACCAUUCUCCUAUAGCUACUGUAUGCUUUUGUUCUUAACAAUAAUAAUAAAAUAUUACCGAGGCUGGAAAUAAUCCACUGCAGCUAAAGAAUGGCUGUUUAACAAACCACUAUUUACUAAAUAAACUACUGACACCUUGCUGUGAUCCACUAUCUGCCAAGCUGAGUUCCUCCUGUCUCCCUUUCUCCCAGAUGCCAUCCGUGUUCCUUACUUUACCUCUUGGCACGCAUCAGGGCAGUGACAAGAGACAAGGCAAAGCUUAGGGCAGUUCAUAAUCAUGGCUUACAACAACAACAACCUGCAAUAGUAGAAACGCAGCAGCUCAAAGUUUGCUCCCUAGGCAUCAUACAUAAAUUGCCAAUCCCUGACAGUCACAGAGCAAGAAGGUUUGGUGCAGGAUCUGCAAUCCUAUCUGCUAAGUGUUUUGGUACAGAAGUGCUGAAAGACCUGGACAUUCACUCCUUGAUUACAGGACAUCUUAAUGUUGGUACAAUCAGUUUCUGGCCUUGUUCAUCUCCUGUAUAAAUAGGUGCAGAAAUGGACAUGAAGAAGGAAAAGCAAUUAACAAGAAAAGACAAAAUAAAACAGUUAUGCCAUGCCUUAGAUCUAUUACAAUUCUUUUUACUGCUGUCACUCCAAUCCUUUUGUCUUAGUUUAGCUUUUAAGCUACUGACACAAAGAAGAUCCAAAAAAAGGUGAGAUUUUUUGGACCACAGUAGAUUCACUUACACCAUUUAAGAGCUGGGCUCAAGAAGUCCAGUCACUGUUUAUGCCUCUACUGGCCUUGGUCCAUUGGUUUUACUGAUUACUAAAUCUUUGUUGUUGAAGACAAAGAACUCUACAUGACUGCAGUGCUACCUUGACCCUUGGAAGCUCUUCCAGGACUACAAGAGUACAGAGCAAAACAAGAAAGUAAAAGCUACCUUGAUGUUAGCGCUAAAUACAGAGAGCUAUCUUUGUUGAAGGCCACUGUAAUGCUUUGGACUACACAUACAAAAAAGCCAGAGAUACACAAAACAGUUUCAAACACAUGAUGAAAUUUGCCAUCUUACCCACUUUGGUUCUGAAUCAGUAACUUUGUUAAACUGUGUGGUUUACCAGAGAAUUUCCAGAGAAUCAUCUGACCUGCAUAACUGCCACUAGCUGUACCCAUAAAGAGCCAUUUCUAAAACUGUAUUAAAUUGAUGAGCUUUUCCCAGAUAGGUGGAAGUUGGAUAAUGGAGCUUAAUCACAAAGUUCCUAGCAGGAAGUCUGCAGCACAGCUGCAAAGAGUAUGCCAAGGGUCCUGGCACCUAACUGCAGCAGGCCAGAUCACCAAAACUCCCCCAGCUGAAAGUCAUCUAAUUAGUGAGAUGUCAAUCACAAAGUAGGACGUAAAGUUAAUUUCAAGACUUAGUGGACACCAGCCAAUUAUCUGUAGAAAAUCAUGUGAUUCAUUCUCAGAAUUGGAAUUAAAAAAAUGCUGGAU